AGGUGUAAACACAUUCCAGCGUGGCCUCAUCCACCUUGUUCCCCAGAUCUGGCGCUGUGUGACUUCUGGCUCUUCCCCCAAAAGAAAUGUCCAGGAAAGGAGAGUGUCUAGAAUCAGUUCAGGGCAUUGAAGCAGCCACAACAGCGCAGCCGAAGACAUGAACGAGGACUUGCAGAAUGCUUCGGAAAGUGGCAGGAGUGAGGGGGUGCCGGUCCACGCCUCCGGGGUUAUGAGCGUGUGCAAGAAUCCAGAGACGAGCCCGGGCGAUAAACUUUGAACCCAUUCUCACUCAUGCAGAACGUUUUGUUUCACCUCCUUAAUGAUCUUUCAGGGGCUGGGGAUUUAGCUCAGCGGCAAAGCGCUUGCCUGGCAAGCGUGAGGUCGUGAGUUUGGUUCCCGGUACCGGAGAAAAAUCAAAAAAAAAAAAGAAAAAAAAAAAAAGAUCUUUCAGUUAAUAUACGUAUUUCUAACUCAGUUCCAAA
Molecule: long non-coding RNA, 482 nt
Organism: Chinchilla lanigera (long-tailed chinchilla)
Lineage: Eukaryota; Metazoa; Chordata; Mammalia; Rodentia; Chinchillidae
Exons: 2
Source: RefSeq, a predicted model, not a curated record